This 454-nucleotide ribosomal RNA is filed under the name uncultured marine bacterium. RNAcentral's name for it is "bacterial SSU rRNA". It matches the Rfam family "Bacterial small subunit ribosomal RNA", at positions 360 to 803 of the family's 1533-position model. The record is from RNAcentral.
AAUAUUGUGCAAUGGGUGGUAAUUCUGGCGCAGCGACGCCGCGUGAAGGAGGAAGGUUUUCGGAUCGUAUUAUUCCUGUCAAGAGGGAAGAAACCUAAUAAGAAUAAUACUCUUAGUAAUUGACGAUACCUCUAGAGGAAGCCCCGUUUAAUUCAUUGCCAGCAGCCGCGGUAAUAAUGAAGGUACAAGAUUUAAUCGGAAUCACUGGGCGUAAAGCGCUCGUAGGAGGCUUUGUAAGUCAGAUUGGAAAGCCCACGGCUCAACCGUGGAAUUGCAUUUGAUAUUGCAUCGCUAGAGUAUAGGAGAGGGAAGUGGAAUUUCUGGUGUAGGAGUGAAAUCCGUAGAGAUCAGAAGGAACACCGGUGGCGAAGGCGACUUCCUGGAUUAUUAUUGACACUGAGGAGCGAAAGCGUGGGGAGCAAUCAAGAUUUGAUACCCUGGUAGUCCAUGCCGA